Molecule: ribosomal RNA, 305 nt
Filed under: uncultured bacterium
Lineage: Bacteria
Description: bacterial SSU rRNA
Rfam family: Bacterial small subunit ribosomal RNA
Source: RNAcentral
UGCCUACGGGAGGCAGCAGUGGGGAAUAUUGCACAAUGGGGGGAACCCUGAUGCAGCGACGCCGCGUGAGUGAAGAAGUAUUUCGGUAUGUAAAGCUCUAUCAGCAGGGAAGAAAAUGACGGUACCUGACUAAGAAGCCCCGGCUAACUACGUGCCAGCAGCCGCGGUAAUACGUAGGGGGCAAGCGUUAUCCGGAUUUACUGGGUGUAAAGGGAGCGCAGACGGCUGCGCAAGUCUGGAGUGAAAGGCGGGGGCCCAACCCCCGGACUGCUCUGGAAACUGUAAAGCUGGAGUGCAGGAGAGGG